Molecule: long non-coding RNA, 3685 nt
Organism: Peromyscus californicus insignis
Lineage: Eukaryota; Metazoa; Chordata; Mammalia; Rodentia; Cricetidae
Exons: 4
Source: RefSeq, a predicted model, not a curated record
GAGGCCAGUGGGGCUGGCAGCCGGCCCUCGUCCUGCAGCCUGCACACCACACCACUGUACAGUGCGGCCAGUGCCGCUCCACACGCAGGCUCCACCAGGAUCUUCUCGUCAUCUGUGGGGAAGGGGCUGGUCAGCUCUCCACACCAGGAAGUCUUGGACCAAACCUCUCACUGUGGCUGAACCCAGACUCAGUUUCUUCAGCCUGUGCCAAGAGUUCUCAGGUAUCUGAGAGGGUGCCUAGGUGUGUGGCAGUAAGCUGCGGUUAUUAAUAACUGGCAGUGUGUUAUUUUUCAUCCUUUUUGGCUUUUUUUCCCCUCCCCUCUGAGUCAGGGUUUCUCUGUGUAGCCCUGGCCAUCCUGGAACUUGCUCUGUAGACCAGGCUGGCUUUGAGCUCUCAGAGAUCCGCCUGCCUCUGGAGUGCUGGGAUUAAAGGUGUGCAGCACCACUACCCAGGUUCUUUUCUUCUUCUUUUUUUUUAAUAAACGAUUUAUUAUGUAGUGUUCUGUCUGCAUGUAUGCAUGCAGGCCAGAAGAGGGAACAAGAUCUCAUUACAGAUGGUUGUGAGCCACCAUGUGGUUGCUGGGAAUUGAACUCAGGACCUCUGGAAGAACAACUAGUGCUCUUAACCUUUGAGCCAUCUCUCCAGCUACCCCCCUCCUCCUGGUUCUUUUUGACCAUCUUGUUGCAGACUGAACCAAGAGAGUUCCAUUACAGACCACCUCCAAUCCAGCUCAUCUCAAUCCUUUCCCUGUGACCCUGACUACUAGGGAGCUCAAAACGGGCACUUGAAAGGAUGGCUGGCUUGUCUUCCCUGCUGUCAUGACUGCCAGGCUCACUUUUUUUAAAUUAAUUAUUUUUUCAUUUAUUUUACUCACUGACCACAGUUUCCCCUCCCUCCUCUCCUCCUGUCCCCUCCUCCCCUCAUCCAUUUCUUCCCUGUCUUCAGAAAGUGGCAGACCUCCCAUGGGAGUCAACAAAGCAUGCCACAUCAAGUUGAGGCAGGACCAACCUCUCUCUGCAUCAGGGUUGGCCCAGGCAACUCAGCAUGGGGAUUGGAUUCCCAAAAGCCAGCCCAAGCGCCAGGGACAGGUCCUGAUCCCACUGCUAGGGGACCCACAAACAGACCAAGCUACACAACUGUCACACACAUGCAGAGGGUCUAGUUCAGUCCCAUUCAGGCUCCCUAGCUGUCGUUUCAGAGUUGGUGAGCUCCCAGGAGCUCAGGUCAGCUGUCUCUGUGGAGUCCCCUGUCAUGACCUUGACCUCCUGGCUCGUACAGUCCUUUCUGUCUUCAACAGGGCUCCUGCAGCUCUGCCCAGUGCUUGGCUCCCAGGAAUCCACAAGGAUGACCCCGGCUAAGAUUCCUAACAAUACCGGAGAGGGUGCCUGAACGGGCCGUCUAAUGUCAUCGACAUUGGGGACUAUUCUGUCAUCAGAGAGCCUUCCUCCAGUCACUCACUGAUGGAAGCAGAUGCAGGCUCACUAUUUCAUGAGCAGCCCAGAGCCUUGGCCAGUUGGAUGGCCUCAUCCAACAUCUGCAGGGCAGUGGGAGUAGGAAGAGAAUGAAAUGAUGGGGGACCUUGUCCAGCUGUCAGGAGCCCUCUCACCUGCCACCUGCCGGUCCGCACUCACCUCUCCCACCACUUCAACGGUGGCGCCUUCGUCCUUGAGCCGCUCGAUGGCUCUGAACUCCUGUCUCCUCCCAAGUGACCUCUGCCUCAUCCUGGGACGCCGAAUCUGGACGUCUAUGAAUGGGUUCAUUGCUGCAGAGACCACGGCCCCAGAGAGGUGAAGCGCCUGGCCUCAGGACACACACAGUCCAGGAUAGGAAGGGAAAGAAAGCCUCUUGGCCACUUACCUGAAGAACAGACAAAAUGUUUACAGCCUUGUUCUGCCCUCUGUGGAGACAAGAGGAGGGGUCAGGCUACCUCUCAGUCCCUGCCUGGAGCAUCCACACUGAACUCACUCACCUUCCUCCUCUUGGUAUCUGAACCACCCUCCCCUCAGGCAUAGCUUUCCCAAGGAGACUGGCUGGGGUAAGGGAGCAGAUGUCAGUCUUGAGAGAAUCUCAUGAGUGGGGUAUCCCUUAGCCAGAGGAAACUCUGAUAUGUGUAGCCUAUUCUAAAAUUACUUUCUUUUUAGGAAGAUAGUAUUUAUUCAAGUUAUUUAUCUACGUGUAUGUGUGCAUGUGUUGCCUGCAGAGGGCAGAAGAGAGCAUCAGAUGCCCUGGAGCUGGAGUUACAGUAUUCUGCCUGCAUGUUUGCCUGCACACCAGAAGAGGGCGCCAGAUCUCAUUACGGGUGGUUGUGAGCCACCAUGUGGUUGCUGGGAAUUGAACUCAGGACCCCUGGAAGAGCAGCCAGUGCUCUUAACCUCUGAGCCAUCUCUCCAGCCCAGGUAUGAUUUUUUAAGCCUCUUGGGAGGUGCACCCGGGUUGAAUGUCCCUCAAAGCUUGGUUCCUGGUCUCUGUGCUGGGUGGCCCAACUAGUCACAUUAGCUUUUUUGCACCUAACUCUUUCCCUUGUUCUGGGCAGAUGAGUUGUGGUAGGGAGUGUCUCUGCCAGGGUUUCAAACUCAAAUACAUCCAAGGUUCAGUCAUGGCUGCUGGGUGCUGGGGAGCAACAGAGUGGGAGGAUAGGGUGACUGCGGGACUGUGGCCUUCCAGAGAGGGUGGUAUAGCUUAGCUUGGCUGAUGGAAAUCAUGCCGAAAGGCCGGAUUCUCGGGUCUGCAAUGAUCAGACUUCUUGGUCAGGGAUGGGGAGUCUUUGAACUUGGCCAAGGAGCCACGCUAUGUGUGUGUGUGUGUGUGUGGGGGGGGAUUCAUAUGCCUACACCCUCACUUAGUCGCUGCUCACUGGCUGCAUGUGUGGCUUCACCUGCCAGGUCCCUGGUCCCACCUAGUGGCUCAGAACUCGUGCAAGCAAGGAAGAGUGUGAGGUGAGGGUCUGUGACGGAGGCUGGUUGGCAAGUGUCGGAGGCUCCACGUGGUUCAGCAGCAAGGUCUCUUUGUCCCGGGAACAGGAUGCACAGCUGGCGCUGAGGUGGUGAAAUGAGGAUUAAUGAGCAACCCAGAGGACUGGCAUGGUGGCUCUUCGGUGGCCUGAGGUGUCAGGGACAGGAGCUGGCUGACAAACAUAGCCUCCCCCCCUCCCCCGUCCCCGUUAGCCUUCCAAGCCCAUCCCCUCCCUCAUUCCAGCCAGCAUCUGUGGAGCCCAGCCCCUCCGCGACUCAGCCUCUGGCUCUGCCCCUGCUCUGUGACCUUGCGUCAAUGACUCGGUUUCUCCGAACCUGUUUCCUCAGCACAGGGGAUCGUUGGAAUUUUUUUUUUCUUUUUUGUCCAGGUAGUUGUACAUUCUGUGAUGGAAUGACGUCACAGGCUUCUCUGCCACUUUGUGCCGUAUUCUCAGGGAACCACAGGACAGACAACAGAGCACCAGCUGUGGGCCCCCCGUGUCCCACACACACAUCUGCUCCACAGCAGGGCAAACAAGGCACAGAGAGACUGAGUGACUUGCCUAGGGUUCCUCAGCCCAGGGAAGUGGUGUGGCUGCUACUCUGCGUGGCAGAGCCCGGCUCCAAGAUCUGUGUCCUAGAUACUGAACGCACUGCCUCCCCCAUAGGAGCCCGCCCCGCGCCUGUUCUGCUUUCUUUCGUUUCUCUGUUCUCAUUAAAAAAUUAAAAAUUA